RNAcentral lists this long non-coding RNA (320 nucleotides) under Elaeis guineensis (African oil palm). RNAcentral describes it as "long non-coding RNA (EGUI_LNC012240)". Lineage: Eukaryota; Viridiplantae; Streptophyta; Magnoliopsida; Arecales; Arecaceae. The record is from RNAcentral.
CGGGGUAGUUCGGAUUGGAGUUGAAUCUGGCUGGAAGAAGUCUAGAAGAGAUUCGGGGAACAGCUGAUAGUCGUAGAAGGUCGGCUGGCGGCGGAGUUCAGUGAGCACUUGGGGCGGCUUGAUAGAUGACUGGGGGAACUCAUGUUGAAAGAGCUCGGGUGGUGCAGUGGGAGUUCGUCCGUCGGAGGAAUUCAGUCAGUACUGUGGAAAUCCGGCUGUUGGAGAAGUUCGUAGAGAUACCAUCUGCAGUCGAAAGUCGGAGGAGUCCUGGGAGGGUCAAUUCUGUUAAGAACUUCGGCUGAGAGUAUUUUAUACCCAAC